Long non-coding RNA from Columba livia (rock pigeon), 4946 nucleotides. RefSeq lists it as uncharacterized. NCBI's taxonomy places the organism in Eukaryota, Metazoa, Chordata, Aves, Columbiformes, Columbidae. The transcript is spliced from 5 exons. The record is from RefSeq and is a predicted model, not a curated record.
CAGAGAUCAUGGACAGACAAUUAGGAAGAACCAUGCUGCUAAUCAAAAUGAAAAGGACCUGAUUAUGUUUCUCAUAAACAAUUGUGUUUUAGGGAUAUAAUGCAAAAAAGUCAGAAAAAACCAAAACAAACUAAUUUUUGUCUUGUGGCUCACAAAACUUGCAUGAAAAAGACUUUUAUGUGUGUGAAACUGCCAAACUGGAGCCAGGGUCGGAACUCUCCAGGGGAUGAAUAUUGAGCAGAAGAGAGAAAUGAAACAGCCAAGCUACUACACUGAGAGACAUAUGUGCUGUACUUACACAUUUACCAUGUUCAAAAGACUUUCUGGUAUAUAGCUGCUCUCUUGAAAAUUAUCUACAUGGUUGUCUGGAGUUAUAACAUAUCUGCAGGAUUCAUUUUAGCCUGCCAGGUAAAUUAUAUAGCAUUGCAAAGAAGUUUAUAAAUUAGUAUUUAUCCUUUAGAUGGAAACCACUUUGGAGGAGCUCUACUAGCCUAAUGGGUAAAUGACAAGCUGUUCAAAAUCUGUUUGUAUGUAUAUGCCCAGGACAGCAAAGCAGCCUUUCUGAAGUAAGGUGUAUAUUUUUUUAAUCAUUCAUAUUUCUUUUAAUUAAAAAAAACCCAAGUCAAACUAAACCAAUAAAUUAUCUUGAAACAUCAUCACAUAUAAAGCCAAGAAAUUUGAAGUUAUGACUGCCACUGAUCCUAAUCCAUGCAGCCAGCAGACAUUAGCCUAAUCAACCACCUCACUGCUACCAUCUCAAUUAUCUGAAAUCUUUUAUUUCAGUGAGUAACAUGUGCUUGAGUUAAUCAGGCAUGCCACACUGGCAAAUCCUCCUGCCUGUCCUCUCCACUCCUGUAGAAGUCGGCAGACAGACAUCAAGCAAUGCUCCUGGGGAAAGAUUGGCUUCUUUGUGGCAGAAACUGUAAAUAGUUCCUCCAACUUCAAAAGAAUUAGCUGUGUUUCAUAGCAGUAUUUUUGCAGAGAUUUUGGUCUUUUAUCUUAGAAUGGAGAGUUAUGCAUUUUGGUAAGAAAUAACUAGGACUAUUUAACUCUUCUCCCAUUUCAUUUUCCCAGGUGUAUCUGUUUGAUCCGUUUUUCAUAUUUAAGUAUGUAGUGUGUGUUUUAUGUUGAGGCAGAACUACAUUAUUAAAGGAUGUUAGGAUAAAACUAGCAUCAGAAACGAAGGAGACAAAUAUACUUUAAUUAUCCUGUAAAGGGUAUGAAGGGAAUAUCUACAAAUACAUGCAGGAAUAAGGCUGUCUAAAAAGUGCAUUAAGGUUUGAUGAUAACAUUGCUGAUAUCAAAGGAAAUUGCUCAAGUUUAUGUUGGUGAACGCUGUAUUUGAUGCUUGUUUUGCAGACUCCAAAAGAUGUCAGGAUAGAGCUCUUGCACCUUGGUGCCUGUGGGAAACCCUCCAGACCCUGCAGAUUCGGCAGCAGGUGCAAGCGGUGAGGACACCAGCUCCAGUCAGUGACCUCCCUCUUCAUCCCUCCUGCUGUCCCCAGUGCUGUUCCAUCAGGAUUCUCCAGCUUGGCUUGAAAACUCUGUGAAAUCCAUCGUGUAACAGGCAAGGCUCUGGAGCAACUUCUGCAGAGUCCUACUGCUCUGAGUCCUCGCAACGUCUAUGGGGCUCUCCUGGUUUGGAGCAGGGGUGGUUGGCCAGAACCAAGGUUCAUCCUUCUGCAAUACCAAACAGACUGUGAAAAAGAGAAUUAAUUCAUUAGCCCAAGAUAUUUAUGAAGUUCUCUAAGCUUCCAAUUCUUGGACUGCAGCCUGAAGGAGUCACAUCGCCUUGAAGCCACCGCACGGUCAUGAAAAGCAGCUGAAAACAUAACUCGGCUUCCUCAGAGAGCACCUGGCUGUGGGACAAGCUGCAGUCUUUCCCUCACCCCGAGGAGACUACAAAGAGCCUGACUUUCCAUCCCUGUUUGAGGAGGGUAGAGCAAGGCUGGGCUGCCUGGGGGGCUGCAGCUACACAUCUCCUGUGCCUCCUCUUCCUCUUGCUCGGAGGGGAUGAGGGCUCAUGGGCCGACUCAGUGGUUUGUCAACCCUUCUCCUUGGAAAGGACCUGCACAUCCAAACACCUGGGACCUAAAACCUCACCCGCCUCACGAGGACGGCGAUAUCACUUCCAUGGGGUAAAGGCAUGGGGAUAGGCUUUGGCACAGUGGGUCGGAGGGUGAACGCAGGACCCAGCACCUUGUGAGCUGCUUGAACCGAUCCGUGAUGCUCAUGGCACCGGGGAGAAGGAGACAUCCUGCGAUGCUUUGCCCGGGCUCGGGCUGAGGUGAAGCACUGGUGAGCCCAGUGACUGCUGCACACGUUAGCAAGUAACUCCCUGGCUGGUUCAUUAUGUCAGAGUCCCUCUCAACUUUAACUGCUCUAAAUGAAGAGAGGUUUUGCGCCACUUAGAUGUUAAAGGGAAGGAACUCUAUCCUGCCCCUACACACGCAAGCACAAGAGGAAAAAAGGAAGGUAAAUGAUAAGGGAAAGGCAACCUUGACUCUGGUGUGACUUCAGAGAGCUGGAGGAGAUGGGAAUAUAUUAUAAUUGGAGGUGGAUCAGGCACCGGAGGAAUCACAGGGAGUGGGAAGGGGAUGGGGUGGGAGUGGGGACUCACAGCCCAGCUUCUCUUCAAAUAACCAAAGCUAAAGCCCAGCAAGUGCGGGGCCACUCCUUAAGCAUCCCCUUAAGCCUGGCCCAGGUUUCACUGCCUGCAGUAGCAGAGUGGCAGCUAUAGAUAUUUCUUUUUCUUCUCCUGCGACAUCAAUCAGAACGAGCCGGCUUUUGCAUGGGGACGGGAAGGGGGAAGAGGCAGAGAGAGAGAAGAGGGGAAAAAAAAUAAGCAGAAGUAAUUUAUUCGGGAUCUUUGAGAGGAUAAUAGCCAAUUAUUUGUUUAUAACACUGGUUAAAUUUUCAUUAGGCAGAUUAAUGGAAUAUCAUGUACUGUCAACAUUGGACUGAGGGGUGGUCUGUAAGAGAUAAACGGGCAAACAGUCGAUGUGUCUCCCUGAGUAAAUUAGUUUUUGCUUUCCUGUUUUUCAUAUGAAAAUGGAAAGGUGGACAAGGUGGUGCAUUUUAAAACAGGUCUCAAGAUGGGCCAAAUCAGUUAAAUAUGAAAGCAAUUCCGGUAAUAAAUACAUUAUAAUAACUUAGCAUCGUGCCUAUCAUUUUGAUUUCAUGAAAGUCUGGGAUAAUGUAGAUUUUUAACCUGCUCUCUUAAUACACAUUUCCUCUUCCUGAACUUCAGCGUUCCUUGCUGUGAGGUGAAAGCAUAUUACUUUUUUUUGCCUGAUUUUUCUGUGUAAUCUGUUCAGUAUUACAGCUGGUAAGUGCUAGAGGCUCACAGCUCUUUCUUGUGAAUUCUGGUAUUAUCAUACUGGAUAGCAUGAGCAGUCCCCUCUAAGUACUGUAUUAUCAGCAUCAGAACCCCUGAGUGGUUAUGGUUGCAUAUCCUCCUCUUUUGAAGUCAGAAUAUUUCUUAAUGUAUUAGCCUGGGAUUCUCAGACAAGACACGCAGAGGCAGACACCCAAAUUUCAGUGGGAGUCAGGCCCAUAAGUCCACUUAACGUCUUUGAGAAUCUCAAGACAUUGCAUAGACGAGCAAAGCUGUGCAGGGGGUCUCAUCAGCCUCAUCACCUAAAUUGGCCUUCACGGAUCUGCUGCUCUCAGUGCUGCGCGGGCAGGUGGAGAAGAGAGGUCUUCUCCAAUUUAAAUCUUGCCUACUUCCAUGAAGAAGCUUAUAAUUACACCAAUAUCUAAGUGGUGUAAAUGAGAUUAGAACAGAUCCCUGACAGCAAUGCCCUGUGCACUACACCAAGUGCUGCCAUGAAGUAUAUUUUCUAAUUUCCUUUCUAUUUUUGACUGAAAGUUGUUCCUGUGAUGCAGGAUCUGUGUUGGCAUCUUUAAGGAGUUAAAAUGUCUGCCAGCGAAGUUAUGGACAUCUAUAAUGAAUAGGGUUUUCUGUAGUACUCACCAGUGCAGAAAGAAUAGCACUAAUAAUGCAAGUAAAUUCACAUCUUGCAAAUGUAUUUCUAUUUCAUCUUGGAAGUGACUCUGUUCGCUCAUCAAUCUUGCUUUGGUUUAAAAAAAAAAAAAUAAUAAUAAUUAAUAUUCUAGCAAGUCCUCUCCAUGGAAUGUUAUUAAUCAUUUUCAAUGUAAACUCAAUGUUGUAAGAACUGAUAGGCUCUAUUUUUCUUGCAUGAAUUUAAGAGAUGUGAAUUUUGGAGGGAAAGAACAGAAAGAAUUAGUAUGUACUUGACUUAAAAUGCUGUGAAGUCUGAAGUCCAUACUGGAAACAAUUUCUAAGAGGCAUGGUAGCAACUAGCAAAGGUGUUACUCCAAAAUUGCCACCAGCAGUUUUGUUAUAGUUCCACUGAAGAAAAAUAUUCACUAAGAAAGGAAUUAGUUAUCUUCCUGUAUCCAUCCAGAUAUUCUCCAUUUGUGUGAGUGGAAGAUACAAGUGUGUGUAUAUGGAGGCAUCUUUUUUUCCCAACAAAUAGUCCAUAUGAUAAGCUCAUAAGGGUUUUGUGGAAUAUUUGUAUCUCCCUUGCUUGCUGUGAGCCAGAUACCUCUCACAAGGGAUAUAAUUAGGAAAAAGCAUCAAAGUAGACAUAUUUUUAGCGAGUGUCUUUCUUUCCCACAGCAUUCUUCCAAAACCUUCUAUUUGAAAAAGAAAUAUGAAAAAAAUCCCACCCAUAAAGAUGAGGCAAAAUGUGAGAUUCAAUUUGUGCACACAGAUAUCUGCCAUUUCAGAAGACAGCAAGUUUCCACUCCCCUAAACGAACAGGCCUGCUUUCACUGAACAACUAAUGAAGCUGACCCUCUGUUAACUAUAAAAGGAGCCUCAGUUUAGUUGUGUUUUUUAAUCAUGUUAAUGCAAUUUAUCUACCGCAUAGGGAGACUAAUCUCCACAUUUCAAUACAUUAGUUAAAAUGAGGAGGUUU